UACGAAGGGGGCUAGCGUUGCUCGGAAUUACUGGGCGUAAAGCGCACGUAGGCGGAUCUUUAAGUCAGGGGUGAAAUCCUGGAGCUCAACUCCAGAACUGCCUUUGAUACUGAGGACCUUGAGUUCGGGAGAGGUGAGUGGAACUGCGAGUGUAGAGGUGAAAUUCGUAGAUAUUCGCAAGAACACCAGCGGCGAAGGCAGCGGGUUGGCGCUUUAUUGACGCUCAGGCACGAAAGCAUGGGGAUCAAACAGG
This 253-nucleotide ribosomal RNA is filed under the name uncultured bacterium. RNAcentral describes it as "partial 16S ribosomal RNA". It matches the Rfam family "Bacterial small subunit ribosomal RNA", at positions 524 to 776 of the family's 1533-position model. The record is from RNAcentral.